CUCCAAGACAACAGAGAGAUCUAAGCAGCGUACAUUCUAUAACAUGUCUUGUUUCAGGACUGCGUUACUCAAGCAAGUGACAGAGGGGUCGUUUGGGGGGAAAUCUUCUUUGAACUGCUGGCUGGUAAGAACACCUGGCUGGGUGCAUGGCAGGAACUCUGGCUUAGCUGUUAAUGCUGCGCAUAGCAAAGGGAUCUGAACUCAAGGGCAGUCCCAAAGCUUUUAAGAAUGUGCGACAAACAUAGCACACCUACUGUGAUGAAUGAAUAAGCAGAGUCUUUUCUCUGCCUCUGUGCUAGAGGUCAGGAUUUAUGCCCUAUUCUUCAUGAGUUUUUCUUCAAUUACAGUCAUAUCUUGGAUGUUGAACAGAAUCAGUUCCGGAAGUCCGUUUGACUUCCAAAACAUCCAGAAACCAAAGCACGGCAGCCAAUCAGAAGUCGCUUCUGAAAAUCGUUCGAAAACCAGAACACUCACUUCCGGGUUUCAAUCAUUCAGGAGAUGAUUUGUUCAGGAGCCAAGGCAUUUGAGAUCCAAGGUACGACUGUAUAGGAUGCUACCUGUCAUGAUCUAGAAACAUAGGUAAAGGUAAAGGGACCCCUGACCAUUAGGUCCAGUCAUGACCGACUCUGGGGUUGCGGCGCUCAUCUCGCUUUAUUGGCCGAGGGAGCCGGCGUACAGCUUCCAGGUCAUGUGGCCAGCAUGACUAAGCCGCUUCUGGCGAACCAGAGCAGCACACGGAAACACCGUUUACCUUCCUGCUGGAGUGGUACCUAUUUAUCUACUUGCACUAGAUGUGCUUUCGAACUGCUAGGUUGGCAGGAGCUGGGACCGAGCAACGGGCGCUCACCCCGUCGCGGGGAUUCGAACCACCGACCAUCUGAUUGGCAAGCCCUAGGCUCUGUGGUUUAACCCACAGCGCCACCCAAGUCCCCAAAAUCUAGAAACAUACUCUAUAUUUAAUAUUUGUUCCAUCUGAUUUCUAUUUUAAUUAGAGUUGAAGCCUAGCCUUGUCAUGGGCAAAGCUAAAUACCAGUAACAGAGUUGGUAUUAUAUUUCAUUUAUUGGUCGCUGUUAUUAUUAGGAAAUUGCAUUGUACUGAGUCAGACCGUUGAUCCACCUAGCUCAGUACGGUCUACCCUGACUAGCAGGAUAUUUAGGAUAUCAGACAGAGGCCUCUCCCAGUCCCACGUGGAGAUGUUAGGGAUUGAACCUUGGACCUUCUUCAUGCAAGCAGAGGGUGUGACCCUUAUAAAAUGUACCGAGAGCUGUGCACAUAUUAAAAACAUGGCAAGUUCUGCCUACAAUUGAAAAGAAAAUGCACGAAAGAAAAACCAGAUGGGGAGGGAAGAGGAAAACACACAGACUCUGCCACCAUUUCCUAAAGUUACAUAGACUGCAAUCCUAUACACAUUUAUCUGGAAAUAAGUCCAUUGAACUCAAAUAGGAUCUCCUUCUGAAUAGAUACACAUAGGCCUGUGUUCAUAGUGGAUCUUAUAAUGACUAGGUUACAUGGAGACACUUCAGGAACAAACACUUGGGUUUUGGUUUGUGAACAAGAAGAGCUCCAUUAUUUUCUGUUUUGCCCUUUGCGCAUGUUUCUUAUUGAUGGAAUUUCUCCAUUAGUGAGCAGUAACUUUUAAAUGUCUUCCUUUGAAAAUCCGUGUGGAACAGCAGCCCAUUCUGUUCUUGAACUUACCACUUGUUUUGCUUGGGACUUGUAUGAUUAUGUAACUGGGUAUGAAAAUGUGGGCUCAUACAUGACAAAAUACCAUUGGUGGGAAGAGAAUGGCUCUAUAAACACACCCAGUGUAGUUAUUUUCUGCCCUCGCUGGAGGCAGUACAAGAAUGAUAAUCCCUUCUGUGGUCGUGCUUAUUUUAUUCCAGGGUGGGAGCAAAUUCAUAGUGUUCCAGUGGCAUGAUUAGAGGAAUGGGCUGAAGCUUAGUGGCAGAGUGCAUGUUUUGCAUGCAAAGUCUUGGAUUCAGUCAUUGGAAGCUGUACUCAGGAAGCCAGGAUGGAAAAUAGAUCUGCAUCAGAUAAUGGAGAUUUGUUGCCAGGCAGGUCAAACCAUAGUAUUUUUAUUUAUAUUUUACUUGCUCAUCCGCAAAAAGAGCUGUGUGACUGAUGGGAUGUGUUUGCAUCUAGCACACUGUUAGAAUGUUGUGGUUCAUUAUUUAGCUGCUGAAUUUCAGCAACCUCAGAAAAGAAGCUUGGAAAAAAUAGAAUUUUAACUUUCAGGAUAUUAUGACUUGCAUGAUAUGCUUUGAUUAGUCAUACUGUGAACACUUAACACCCUUAUAUAUAUUUUCCGAGGUGAAGGAAAACACAAUGAAGCAGUAAGUAAAAGGAUCCUGUCCUUACUGAUGCAUCUUGAACUCUGCCCCCACAGCCCUCCACCUUCUUGGCAAUGUAUGGCAAACCUGUUGACCUGCAGAUGUAGCUGGACUAAAGCAUCCAUCAUCUCCAACCAUUGGCCAUGAUGGGUGGACCUAUCUGGAAGUCAUAGUCUUUCAUGUGGGAGGUCUUCUGCAAAAGGCUGUAGCUCAUUGGUAGAAUAUAUAAUAAUAAUAAUAAUAAAAAUAAUAAUAAUAAAUUAUUUAUAUCCCGCCCUCCCCAGCAUAAGCCGGGCUCAGGGCGGCUAACAACAAUACAACAGUACAACAGUACAACACAACACAACACUCUAAAAUCAUUCAUUAUAAAAUUAAUUCAAAUCAAACCAAUGGCAACCAUUGGGCCAGAGCUCCGUGAAGAUUGCCGAAGGAGGGAGUCAGGCUGUGCCCUGGCCAAAGGCCUGGUGGAACAGCUCUGUCUUGCAGGCCCUGUGGAAAGAUGUCAAGUCUACUUUACAUGCAGGAGGUUCUAGGUUUCUUUCUUUUCUUUUUUCUUUUAAUGCUUUUUAUUAAGUUUUCAUUUCAAAUACACCAACACCAACAAAAAUACACAAAUCUUUCAAAUCUUUUUACAUCUGUCUUACUUUACUCUCUGUAGGGCAGUUGACUUCCCUCCUUCCCUUCUUCAGGUUUUCUUAUUCCAUUCCCUAAUUCACAGUUCCUUAAUAAUAACUAAACCAUGACAUAAGAUUUAUUUCAGUCCUGAUAACGUCUUCAAAUUUCUCCAGUUCUCACUUAUAUAGACCAUAAAUUUACUCCAUUCUUUUUGGUGCUUUGUUUCCUCCUGACUACGAAUCCUAUGGGUCAGUUUUGCUAAUUCCGCGUACUCGGCCAACUUUGUCUGUCACUCCUUCACAGCUGGUAUCUCCUGUGUUUUCCAUUUUUGGGCUAUCAAAACUCUGGCAGCUGUCAUAGCAUACAUAUAUAAUCUUUGGUCCAUCUUCUUAAUAUCCUCUCCUAUCAAACCUAGCAAUAGUUCUUCAGGCUUUUUUGGGAAUGUAUAUUUAAGCAUCUUUUUAAAUUCAUUAUAGUUCAGUUCCCAAAACUCUUUCAUUUUAUCACAUGUCCACCACAUGUGGUAAAAAUCACCAUCCUUUUCUUUACAUUUCCAACAGAUUUUACUACUUGUCCUAGGAGGUCCUAGGUUUCAAUUCACCAAUAUCUCCGAGUAGGUCCAGGAGACAACAUUGCUUGAAAUGCCAGAGAGCAGUGUAGACAAUACUGAGGUAAAUGGAUCACUUUGAUGCAAAAUCACUUUUCUUACGACUGUUUCUUCACAUCUUCAGAACUCAGACCCAGGAGUGUUGAAAGAGGUUCUGGAGUUGGCUGGUUCAUAUUAAGCACCAAUGGGAAAGGAAGGGGAGGAAGGGGAAGUGGAGAGCUUGAAAAGUGAGGGAGCACGGGAGAAAAGAUUGAAUGAAAAUGAGCUGAGGAGGAAAGGGGUCAGGGUCUAAGAAGGAUGUGUAAAACUACAAGUUGUGAAGAAAAGUUGUGGGUGUAGUAGGAUGGAGCAAGGGGGUGGAGUUGUGGUGGGAAAUGGUAGACUAGGCCUUGCCGUCAGUGGCACAUAAAAGAACAAGUUAAAAAUUAAAUUGUUUUCUGUCUUCUUCACUAGUUGUGUCAGUCAGGCCCAGUUUGCUAGCAGUGAGUGGUUGCCUACAAAUAACACAGCAGCCCAUUGCUAGCUACUGUCAAAUUAUAUUUCCAAUGACAUGCUAUUAAUGCCUUUUUUUGGUAAGCUAACUGGUUUGGAAUACCAUCAUUUGAGAGUGAGAUAUUUCAAUCACGUUGGGGACUUUUCUAAAAAAAGCAAUCCUGAACUGGCAAAGAAACAGAUUAGAUGACCUUCUAGGUCUUUCUCAUGUAUAAGAGUUAUACUUUUUCUUUUUAAAAAAACCAGUGUUCCAUUUGCUUUUAUUCUGCUUUUAUUUUGAUAUGUAAUGAUCAGAUUUUCACCGGAUUAUUUGCUUGAAGGGCUGUAGAACAAUUGCCUUGCCUGUUAAGAGUAUUACUAUGGGGCCGAAUUUCCUCAGAAUUUUUUAAUGUCUUCCUGUCGCCAUUGAAAGCGAUGAGGUUGACCUUGGAAAUCAGAUUGCUCAUUGAAAAACAGAAUAGGUGACAUGAGGAGCUAAUGUCUAUAAAUGUUGUUGAAUGGAUGACCUUUUGAUAAGACAACAUGUGAUUUAAAACAUGAAACUUUUUUUACACUGAAUCAGAUUAUCUGUAGUCUAGUAAUAUUUAUUCUGAGUACCACCAACAGCACUUAUCCAGGUUAAGCUCCCUUUAAGGAGGUCAUUGGAGACUUAUGGCAUUUUGUAAUAUUUGCAUUUAUUUCCAAGUGCACAGAUUGGGCAUAAUUGGAGGCACAGCCUAAACAUGCCACCUAUUGGCUCCUUGCACAAUUUAGAACCUUGAUUGUAUUUUUGUGAGGGUGAAUGCUCAGAUAGAGUUUGUGUGAGUAUCAGUUAAACCUAUGGUUGAGAGCCCAAGACUGCCUCUCUUUCUGAAGCACCAAAUGCCUUUUCUGAGAAGCCAGCAAGCCACAGAGGGCCUGUUCAGAUGCACAGUUCUGAUAUGAAAAAGCCACACCAAAGGGUGCCUCCAGACCAUGGGUAGGCAAACUGAUGCCCGGGGGCCGGAUCCAGCCCAAUCACCUUCUAAAUCCGGCCUGCGGACGAUCCGGGAAUCAGUGUGUUUUUACAUGAGUAGAAUAUGUCCUUUUAUUUAAAAUGCAUCUCUGGGUUAUUUGUGGGCCAUAGGAAUUCGUUCAUCCCCCCAAAAAAAUAUAGUCUGGCCCCCCACAAGGUCUGAGGUACAGACCCUUGCUGAAAAAGUGCUGACCCCUGCUCCAGACUGUUGCUAUUUUGCAGGAGGGAUCCAAGAACUUCACAUUGGCACAGCAAAAGUGGACUGAAGUGCUCUGUUGCCUUAGCACAACAAAUCCACUUUAGAAAAUAAACACACUGAACAGUGUGGAAUGGACAAAUGGUUCAUGGGAAGUAAUGUAAACUCCCCAUAAGCAAAUCAGGAUGAAUACAGAAUGCAUUGUCAUAUAACCAAAUCAUAAAGAAUGCGGAAUAAAGACUGGGCAGUCCAACCACUGUGUGAAAGACGUCAAUCAUCUGAUCUCAAGUUUUGUGCAAGCAAACCAUGACAAACCAUGGAGGAGUACAAAUUGAUCCCUUCCCUCACUGCUUUGGGAUGUGUGUGUGUGUGUGUGUGUGUGUGUGUGUGUGUGUGUGUGCAUGUACAGCAUAUGUUUGUUAGGUAAAAUAUAACACAAAAGGGAUAAAUACCCGGAACGUGUUUCAAAGCUAGUUUUUCUGUUUCAUAGCAUAGCUGGGAAAUUAAGACAACUGCACCAAGAGUACAUUUGUUGCUUUUAUUUGACAUCUUCAUUAGUUUAGAUUGGAAUGUAUCCGGAUUAUUAAACUGCCCUGCCAGCAAAAAUCACACUGAAAAGGGCUUGUAGUAUGUUGCAGAUCAGAGCUGUUUCCCCCUUAUGCAACCUACUUUAAAUGUACUAAAUUGUCUCCUAUAAUCAAGCUAUUAGAAUGGCAUUAAAAUAUAAUCUUCAUGAACAGCCUAGCAAUUUGUCAAACGUUGCAUUACCCUGCCUGACAUUUUAAUUUCCAAGUUCUUUAUUAGUAGAUUGGCCCCCUUGAUCACAAAUUACAUGAAAGAGUCUUCAUUCUUCAUGUUUGAAAUCAACAAAAAGAAGUCAGUCUUCUGACCUCAUUUUAAUCAGUGUAAAAAUAGAAUGGCUCUAUUAAAGUCCGUAGAAAGUUUAUCCAUAUCAGCAGCAAUGUAACCAAGAUCUGUAGCAUAUUGUCAUGAGUUUGGGGUGUUGAGAUGUAUGCCAGCAAAUAUUAGAAUUUAUUCAAGGCAUCUAAUGGAGGAAUGGGUUUCCCAAACCCAAAACUGACUGUGCAGGCAGUUUGAAACGGGCACUAAAAUCCCUAUUUUUCCUUAGCUAAAAUCCAUUAACUUGAGCUCUGAGUCAAUGUAUAAACAAAAACCCGGCUGUAUAAACAAGUGCUCAGAGCCCUCUCCUUUAUCAGUUCGUGACGGCAAGGAUGACCUUGGCUGUUUCAGUGGAGUAGUGAUGACAUGUCUAGGUCUUAUCUUAUGUCCUGAUGCAAAGACCUAGUCCGGGAACAGCGCCAGAGUGUUUUCUUGGAGUUGGUGACCUCUUGCUCCAAGAUAAGAGUAGGAACAGGAAUACCCUUUUAUGGUCAGAAGUACAGGAAGGAAUACCCUUUUAUGGUUAAGAAUCCCGGAGCAGGAACAUAUGUGAUGUCAACCUGCGUGUAUAGGCUGACGUGGUUGGAUUCCUGGGGAAGGAGGGAGAGGGUGCCUGGAGGAUAUAUAUACUACAUGAAAUUUCUCAUUUCUUUGGACUUGCUGUGGACACACCACGCAGGUGCCUUUCUGCUGUUCCUGAGAGCAGAAAUAAAGAACUCUUUCUCUGAACCAACACUCGGUGUCAUUUGACUUCCUUCCUCCUGUCCGGGAGCAACGCAGACCGAAUCGGUGAACUCCAAUAAGACUACACUAAUUCUUGGAAUGGCCAGGUUAGCCUCGUGAUGAGGUGAUAGCCUGGGUGAUGGGCCAUUAGGGAGGAUUAAGGAGCUCAGUGCAAGACAGAAAAUGGGUGGGUCCCCUCCUUCAAUAGAUAAAGCCAGAGUUUAGAGUAGAGAGUUUUUGGGGAGUUAUGUGAGCUAGAAGGAAUGCAGCAAGCUGGAGGGCGGGAGAGCAAUGUUUGAGAGCAAUGUUGGAUUUCAAUUUGAAUUCAAGGCUGCAGAUAUGGGAGAAACAAGACCCCUUUGGGGUGGUAAUGCUUUGAACCCCUCCAUCACAGGCUGUGGUUCAAUAUGUGUGUAAAUAAACAAUAGAUUACAAGACUACUGCUCUUAACCACUACACCAAACUGGCGUAUUUCCGUGUGCUCUGGUUUUUUUAAAAAAAUUCCACAUGAGAUUCUGGCAGCACUACCAAGGAGUCUGGACAUUUUGUUGCUGUUGUAUCUUCCCUUUUGGUUUCUUUGCUUCUGUUAUAAUUUUGUAAAACACCUCCUUCUUCGGGUCACUCAUGCAACCGGAGGGAGCAAUUGGUUUCUGUAUAGUGUGUUGUUGUUGAAUGGAACACAGACAGAGCCACCUAACUGCUGUGGACUUAAUGAAACGAAACAGCACAAAUGAGCACCUGAAACAGCAAUAAAAGCUGCACAGAAGAUCACCAGCAGGGCAUCAUCUUUAUGACGGUCCCAAGGCCUGGCAGGAUAGAAAGGUUGAAAAAAAUAUAUGAUAGAAAAGGCCUGACAGGGAGAGAAUUCCACAGGGAAAGAGCCACCAUAUAUUUUAUUUUUAUUUUUUAACUUUUGAAGACAAAGGCAUCUAGAAGAAGGCAACACAUGAAGCUCAACGUGAUGGAAUUCAUGUGGGAGGAGAUAACUUGGCCCAUUUAGUGCUUUGACAUACAGUGGUACCUCGGGUUAAGUACUUAAUUCGUUCCGGAGGUCUGUUCUUAACCUGAAACUGUUCUUAACCUGAAGCACCACUUUAGCUAAUGGGGCCUGCUGUUGCUGUGGCACGAUUUCUGUUCUCAUCCUGAAGCAAAGUUCUUAACCCGAGGUACUAUUUCUGGGUUAGCAGAGUCUGUAACCUGAAGCGUAUGUAACCUGAAGCGUAUGUAACCCGAGGUACCACUGUACACCUGGAAAGUAACUUACGACCACAGAUAUGUGUUUUGUAGGGGGAAGGACCAUAGUUCAGUGGCUGCGCAUCUGCGUCACAUGCAGAAGAUUCCAGGUUCAAUACCUUGCAUCUUCAGGUAGGGCUGGGGAAGACUCCUGAUUAAAAUCGUGGAGAGCUGAUGCCAUUCACUGUAGACAGGACCGAGUCAGAGGGACCCGAGGUCUGACAUGGUAUAAAGCAACAUUCUCUGUUCCUGUCGAUUAUUCCACCUUUCCAUUUUUAAUCAUCCAGGGCUACUUAGAGAUGAGAUGAGAGCCAGUGAGGUGUAGCGAUUAGAGCGUCAGGCUAGGACCUGUGACACCAGGGUUCAAAUCCCCACUUGGCCAGCAAGCUCACGGGGUCACCCUAGGCCAGUCAUUUUCUCUCAGUCUGACCUACAAGGUUGUUGUGAGAAUUACAUGAGCAGGGGGAGAAGAACCAUGUAGGCCACCUUGAGCUUCUUGGAGAAAAUAUAAAUGCAAUAAAUAAAUAAUAUUAAAAACAAAUAAGCAAUACAAUUAAAAAUACUAAAUGUGCUGUUCACUGGCUGUUUCAAAACAGCUCUCAAAGACAGCCCAGCACAGAGGCAUCGCUUGUAAUAAAGCCUGGUGGUUGUUGCCAGGGCAUGGAUAUGAGGGGUGAAAUCCCAGCUGGCACACCAGAAUGAAAGAUCUUCCUGGUCAUGCCCACCAGCUGAGCAUUCUGGGACAAAACAAAACCCGGACGCACCCCAAGCUGUGAACUGGAGCACUUUAAGAAGAGUAAUAUGCAUUGGGCUCACCUUGGCUAACAGACUGUACAGAUAGCAUUCGACUUUGUUCUUCAGCUGUGAUAAGAAUUUUAAGGUCUUAGAUAUAUAAUAAAUUUACCAACCAAGCACGUACAUAGAUCAGCACAGGAAGACCGACCUGAAACCAUUUUUGAUUCCCAAACUGACCAAAUGUUUUCUCUGCAAGGUCAAAGGAAAAUGGAAAAGCCUCCCCAUUGUCUUUUCCUUCACAAAUCCUGUCUUAAGGGUAUGUCUGUGUUUGAAUAGGGUGAGCCUGUGACCUGUCUCAGGAACUUAGUAUUUAUCAUUACAAAAGACUGGCCAGGCUCCCCAGGGUAUCCAAUCAAGUGACCAUUAACAGGUAACCUGCCAGACAGGAGAUAAACAACGCACUCAGAUUUCUGCUGUAGACCGCCUUUUCUGUGAUGUAGGUAUGAUGUAUCUGGGGGGUGGUCUUGGGUUACACCCCUUCUGUGAUGUAUGUAUGAUGUAUGGAGGGGUCUUGAGCUCCAGGGCACGGAAUUUAAAAUGUCUAUAUAAGGGCAGACACAUCUUUGUUCUGGGUUCCUCCUCCUUUCCUGCGUGUGAGGGGACCACCCUGUUGCAGCAGUUAAUAAAGAUCAGGCUUACUAGCUGCUUUGCUUCUCAGUAUGCUGUGGUUGGCCUCUGUUAUUUUCUCCUACCAAUAGGGAACCUACGUAAGGACUCUAUAUGGGCUCUUGGAUACCCCAUGAGGGAAAAAGGGUAGAUUUUGUUUACAACACAACUUUGGGUCCCCCAGUAUUGUUGCAUUGCAACUCCUAUCAUUCCUGCCCAUUGGCUAAGAUGGAUGAAGAUGAUGGGAGUUGUAGUACAACAACAUCUGGGGACCCAAGGAUGAAGAACACUGAUUUGUACUAUUCUUGGAUAACAGAUGAUACCCAUGGCAGAGUGAGUACAGUGAGUACAGUGAGUACAGAAAUAGUGCUUCAGGUUAAGAACUUUGCUUCGGGAUGAGAACAGAAAUCGCGCAGCGGCAGGAGGCCCCAUUAGCUAAAGUGGUACCUCAGGUUAAGAACAGUUUCAGGUUAAGUACGGACCUCCGGAACGAAUUAAGUACUUAACCCGAGGUACCACUGUAUAUCAGGAAAGGGCUGGGUAUUUCCUAUUUUGCAAAUUCUGCUGGUUCUUGACUACAUGUUAUGAAGCUUCUUUCACACCCAACUCAAACAAGUUUCCUGACAUGUGGAACAUGGAAUAAAUAAUUGGGACAUGAUCUGAACCUUGCCCCCUGACAAGGCGUUCUUUUAUGAUGACUGUGAUGGAAAGUUUUAUGGCUGUUAAGUACUGGUAGUUUCUCACGAGAGCACUUUCUCCAUUGCAAAAAUAAUGUAAAUUAAUCGUGUUUCCUUCUCACACUUCUGUGGUGUUGGAAGAAACCUUUUAAAGUGUGAAGGAGAGCAUGUGUUUAGGAAAUUGCCUGCCAAACUCAAGAAGAGGCAGGAAAUGACAGCUCUUCUAUGCACUAAUGCUAUUGCUUGUACAAAGGCACAGACUGAAAUGCAAUUCAAACUGAAAGAACCUAUCCUGAUUGUCAACAGUACUUUGCAUUCAUGCAUCUCCCUGCUGUGGCAGAAGUAAUGCAAAGGCAUUAGUUUUUAAAAGCAAACAGAUAGUCCCCAAAAAGUGAGAUUAUAUUGGUUUCUCCCCCUCUUAUUUGCAGACUUGAACUCAUUUUUAAACUUCUUUGCUCCCCAGUAUGAUCAACAUUUACUUAGGAGACACAGCUGGAAUAUUUUAUAUAGUUAUAGAAUGGAUCAUCCUAAACGUAGACUUUUUCCGGAAACCAGCCUCCAGAAAUCUCUCUCUAAACAAGUUGAAUUUUGGGCUUUUUCACCCAGAGAUCUUAGAAAAGGUCAAAACUGCAAAAGUAACACACUGGUAGGAAAUAGAAUUUGUAAAUCACAAUCCAGAAUUCUCAGCCUACAAUCCUAACACCAUUUACCGGGAAUAAAUCCCAUUGACUUUGAUAGGACUUACUCCUGAGCACACAUGGUUAGGAUUUUGCUAUAGGAAAGGAACCAGUGAAUUAAAGUUUUAGGCAAUGGCGUAUUGCCCCUACACAGUCAUGAUCAGUGGAAAUCCCCAGAACAUCAGUAUAGGUGCCAUCUAAAUCUUAUGUCAUUAAUUUGUCCACUGAUGUUAUUGAGACCGUAUGAAAUGAGCAUCUUGAGAGCCUAUUGGCAAUAGGCAGAACCUGUUGAGAUGCAGUAAGUCAAAACUUCUACUUCCAGUGAUUAAAAACACUUCCUUGCUGUCCCUAGAUGUUCAGACAUCAAGCCAGACCUUCACUCAAUACUUUAAGCUUCUGCCACUUCAGUAGUGCUCCUAAAAGUUCUGUAUUGAUUGUUAGAUUGUACUGUAAGAAGUGUUAACUGGUGAAUUUAGAGGUUCCCUUUAGCCGCAGGCUGUGUGCUGGACACUAUGCAAGCCUUGCAGCAUUUCUCUGAUGAAAACAGGGAUGUCCUAAGGAAAAGCAAGAUGUUCCAGGAUCAAAUCAGAAACUGGGACAGCUUCUGUAAAUCCGGGACUUUCCCUGGAAAAUAGAGACACUUGGACAGUCUGGCUAUGUUGUAUUAUUCUAAAACAAGCAAGUGAACAAAACCUUGUGCUAUAAUCUCCUUGACUAUAUCUAGCCAUAGUAGGCGUUGAUAGUAAGUGUAUUUCAUACUGUACUCCGAGUGUGCCAUGUUUCAACUAGUUUAUCAAGGUUAACAUUGUUAUUUUCUUUUGUUGUAUGUCAUAGAUUCCACAAUAAUAUUUUAACACCGUGAUCCAGAAUAGAGCUGAUUAUUGAAUGUUAAGACAGGUGCAAGUCUGUAUCAUAGCUAGAGUGGGUCAACAUUUAAAUUACAUAGAAUCACUUGAUGUGCAAUGUCAAUCACAGAAGAUGAACUGGCAUUUUGACCAGAAUUUCCAUCUGUACCAUGCAUUGGUUCCCAAUGUAAACGGGAAGAAUAAGAGCCAAACUGGUUCUGCUAUUAGAUAACCUACGUGGGGUUUUCAGGAGAUGGCAAGGUCAUGAUGGAGGAAGAAACAUUUUCUGGGUACUCAGCACUUUGCAGAACCAUGUGCUCAGUUGUAACCUAGUGCUCUGUGUAACCUAGGUAAAGGUAAAGGAACCCCUGACUGUUAGGUCCAGUCACGGACGACUCUGGGGUUGCGGCGCUCAUCUCGCUUUAUUGGCCGAGGGAGCCGGCGUACAGCUUCCGGGUCAUGUGGCCAGCAUGACUAAGCCGCUUCUGGCGAACCAGAGCAGAGCACGGAAACACCGUUUACCUUCCCGCUGGAGCGGUACCUAUUUAUCUACUUGCACUUUUUAUGUGCUUUCAGGAACAGGGACUGAGCAACAGGAGCUCACCCCAUCGUGGGGAUUCAAACUGCCAACCUUCUGAUUGGCAAACCCUAGGCUCUGUGGUUUAGACCACAGCGCCACCCGCGUCCCACCUGUGUAACCUAGCCAGGACCAAAUUACUGAGGCACUUUUUGAAAUUGCUGUUGUUUAACUCUGCCCUCAAUACAAAUUGCUCAGGGAACUCAAUGUGGUACCCUUUGCAUAAAUCACCUUUUGUACAGCCUUUUGGGGAAAUGGGGUAUAGGGAGAAAAGUCUUUAAUGGAUUACAUGUAGUAUAAUUAAAUGAGUAUCAGUUCAAUUCAAUUAAUGAAGAUGAUACUCGUAACAGGACACACAGUCAAGUUCACAUUGAUUUCCUUAUUGUCUUUGAAGGGAGUUCAAGAUCAUUGAUUCUUAUUGCCUCAUUAUGAAACUUUUACAUAUACAGUAUUUGAUCAUAUUAGCUGAACCAUUACAGAAGUUCAGUUAGCAUUUUAAACAGUGUUGGGGUAUAUUAGAGCAAAAUUAAUGACAGACAUGCAUUUGGGGUAACCUACUGAAAAUGUUUUAAUUCAGAACUAAGACUCCUAAUGUACAAAACAAACCUAACGAUUUUGUUUCAUUUUUCAUUAACCAAGCAUUUUUAAAAGAAUACGAUUGACUAAUAAAUUAUGUGUUAGACAUGCCCCAUAGAAAACAUAUUUACAUAUGGAAUUAUGUUUGACUUAGCUUAAGUAGAUGUUCUACAUCAUCUUCCACUGGAAGAACAGAUUUUCAGUAUUUAAACAUCAUACUGUAGAUGUCAUGCAAAAUGCCAUGUGAGGGGAUGAAUAGCCAGUUUGACCAUCAUCUCCAUAUCAUGACAGCGGGCAGCACUAGUGACCAGCAGCCUGCCUGGGUUGCCCAAUAAGAAUGCAAAAAGGAAUAUCCUAUGGAGUUAAGACAAAUACUAUACAGUAGCUAGCACAUUCUCUUCUCCCUGGCUGCAGCUCUUCAAAUCUCUUAAAGAGUAUAAUAGAGAGGUCUUUGCUCAUGCGAAUAGUAUAGAACUGUAAGGGGGAAAUUCCAUUUACUAAGGACUGAAAGAGACACAUUUGCUAUCAGCAUGCGUGCUUUGGAAACAUCUUGAAAGCAAACCAGAACUACCGGUACUUACUGUGUGGAGCCAACAACAUCAUGGUACAAAAUGCCCACACUCGCUCAGGGGGAAGCAAAACAUUAUGGCAGUCCUCUUUACAGUAAGCACGUCUAAUAGCUAUGAGCAAUGCUUUUUUUCUGGUGGGGACGCACAGGUACGCAUACCCCUAAACAUUUUGUGAAUCUAACAUUGGCCUCAUUGAGGGGCAGUAUUUCAAUAUGAGUAGGAAAAUGAGAGUAUCCCUAAACAUUUUUUUUAAGAAAAAAAGCACUGGUUAUGAGUAGGAAGAGGAGCAUAGUGUCAGUUCUGACAGCAAUCUGUUUUCAGCAACGUCCCAGCAGCAAUGUAAAAUUUGUGCCAAACCUGAGCCUUAUAUCUAUCAAAGAUGUGAGAUGAAACUCAGCUGUGUUUCAUCUCGAAGCUUGUACCCUUAAACUUCUAGUUGACAAAUGACUUUGCACUAAUAUUGAACAAUGCUGAUCAAUACUGGUUUUAAUUUUUUUUAAAUAUAUAUAUUUAUAUGCUGCUUUUCUGGGCAGUCCAGGUGGCCUACAAAACAAGAAAAAAUGUAAUAUCUCCUAUAUGACUCCAAUAAAAAAAUAUAACAUAUUCACAAAAUUCACAACACACACAUAUUCACAAAGGUAAAACAAAUUCCAGCCUCCAUCCGGAGAGUAGGACAAACAUUUCCUGAAGGAAGGCCAGUUGAGACAAAUGAGGUCACAUAUGUACCAAACAUUUAAAGCCUUCUGAUACCACUUUUAACAGUCAUGACCUCCCUCAAAAAAUUCUGGGAAAUGUAGUUUGUUAAAGCUGCUGGCCCCACAGACCAACAAUUCCUAGCACCUGUACCAAAUUGCAGUCCCCAAAUUCUCCAUGACUGUUAAAGUGGUAUAAGAGUGAGUUUAAUGUAUGGUGUGCAUGCAACUAGAGUCUUCUAGGCUUCCCAAAAGCCUGAAAUAUAACCACCCACCCAGUGGCGUAGCAUGAGUUGUCAGCACCCGGGGCAAGGCAAGUAAUUUGCACCCCCUAACCCGUGGAUUUUAGCACUGCGAGUGCAAGCGCGCCCCCCCAGAUGUUGCGCCCGGUGCGGCCAGCACCCCCCUGCACCCCCACGCUACGCCACUGCACCCACCCCAGCUGUACAGGAAGUUCCAAAGGAGUGGAGCCACCACAGAAAAGAUCCUCUCUCUUGUGGUCACCCACUUGACCAAUGUAGGAGGUCAUGGACCUCCAACUGAGAUCUAAGUGGGCAAGAUGGUAAAGUGCACAUGGUCCUUCAGACAGCUUGGAUCUGAACCACUUAGGGCUUGAAAACAGCAUUUUAAAUGGCUUGCACAAAACCAAAUUUCCCUUGUCAGCACAGUCUCCUAGAAUGAAAAAAUGUGGUUCAGGCUAGUUGGGUACACCUUGGGUACCAGGUGCAACCAUUUCCUGACCAGCCGGUCCCAGCCACUUGUGAUAAAUGAAGCAAGGCUCCAGGAAGUAACAGAAAGCAAUGUAGAAUGUCUUCAGCUUCUCCCAGGUGUGAUGGCAAUGUCUUUUAACUUCUGUCUAGAAGAUGCUGCUGUUCAUUGGCUACUGCAGAAACACUUUGGUGAUCGCUGAAUGGGCUAAAGUAGUGUCAAAGGGAUACCUUUCCAAAAUAACUGCUUGACCCCGGAACUCUUUGUGAACAGUGAAUAUGCUCAUCACUAGCAGCGAAGUAGUUCAAAUAAGUAUUUUAACAAAGGACAACCUUAUUAUAUCGUUCGUGAAAUGAGCUGAGGCAGCAGUAUCAGCUAAUAAUGAAGAUGAGAAGAUAUAUGCUGUUCUCAGAAGCAACUGCCGUUUGGAACUCGAUUUGAGAUGAGCCUAACGAAGCAAUUUUCCUUUGUGGGAUCUGGAGGAAACCAAAAUGUAAAAACACGACACAAUUUCAGUCAGCUUGAAUGGGAACACGAACGAUAUACAUGGGUUGCGUCUGAAUUGUCCCUCUUCUCCUGCCUAUAUUUUCCUUGGGCUUCUCUAAAUGAGCAAUAACGUGGCAGCUCCCCUUUAAUUGAGAUGGGUUGCAAAUUACUGCACCAAACAGAUGCUUUACAAUUACUAAUGAGAUUUCAAGACAUUCAAAAUGGAGGAAAAUAGCAUUCAUAUGCAAGCAUUAUUGGAAUGUUGAUUUUAACUACAGUUCUUUUUUUAAAAGUGCUAAUAGAGUACCUCAGGGUAGCUCAUGUUUUGCCCUCCAGAUGUUCUUGGCUCUAAAUCCCAUCAGCCCCAGUCAACAUGACCAAUGGUCAGGGAUGAUGGGAACUGUAGUCCAACAACAUCUGGAGGGCAUCACACCUCUUGAGUAAGUAAUGAGAGACAGAAGUCCCCUCUGGAAUUUAACUGUGCAACACCAUGCUCACAAGUUUCUGUACUGGAAAAUGGGGUUUUCAUUAUUACAGAGUAAGACAUGAACUAAAUUCAGUAAAGCUCAUUCCAGCCCAAUUUGAUUUCCAGUAAAGCCAUUUCUUCUUAUUUGCUCUGAUUCUAGUUUCUUAAACUUGUAUCUUAAGGCCUAGGUAUGUGUGAUGACAGAAGGCCUGUGUGUUUAAACCCAACCCUGCCACAGCAAUGUAGAAAGGAAAGGGUGAUUUAAGGAGUAAAAGGAAAAUAGUGCUAAAAAGGGCAGAACCUCUCCUAUCACCCCUAUUGCUCAUAUUGCCGCAGUCUGUCCUCCACCAUCACUUCUUUAUCCAGGUCCCAAUCCAAGAACAGGCAGGGGGAAAAGAUUUGGGGUGAGGAGCUGCUGAAGAAACGGGGUGAGUUUUAAACUCUUCCCCUGUGUACCUGUUUUGCUCCUUAAAAUCAGUCCUCUCCCCAUCACUUGUUGCAGGUCCAGGUUUAAAACACACAGAUCUGCUGCCAACUUGUCUCACUUGGCCCUUAGUAAAACUUGCUGAAGGAAUUCAGUCUCGUUCUUCCCUCAGAUAUAAUUAGACCCUGAUUUAAAGCAAAGCAAAUGACUUUGUGUUUUAUACAAGUACGCUUAAUUUGCAUAGCCCCUUUCUAAUGGUGUCUGAAUUACAGAGAGAAUGUUAUACUACUGGAAGUAUAAAAUGCACUUGUAUAAAUUCUCUUUUAUCUAUGAUUUUCUUCUUAAUUUAAGCAUCUGCUACAUUACCACCAUUCCUAUAUAAAUAUGGAGCUACAAAAUUCACUGUAGGGAGGGGGGGAAUCCCAGAGAUUUUAGUGUGGUGCAGUAAAAAGGUAGUUCAAGUGGUUAUAAUAAAAUAUAACAAAUUAAUAUAAUUGACUACUUCACUCUGGAUUUUCUUUUCUUUUCUCUUUUUGGCUGCUAAGAUGGCUAGGUACAAAGGAGAACAGAUAUCCUAAUGCCUUUAAUUCAUGCUUGUAUAGAAGACGGAAUCUCAGCAAGCUUUCACACAAAGCGUGUUCUCUUUCAUAGAGAGCACGUGUUGCGGUGGGAUCUGAACAGGCCACCCCUCUGUUGCUGGGCGGGUUAGUAUGGAUAACCAUCCGAAGUGAUUCGGUGGUUGGGUUACUGGGCAAAUGUUGGUGUUGCCAUUUAGGGGGACGGACCAAAGGUUAUAAAAUCAAGUCACGCAGCACUGACUGGUCUCUUUUGCUGCGUGCACCGGAUCACCCGCUCACCCUCCCUAAUCUAGGGCUAUUGCGUUGACCUUGCUAUGCUGGUCAUGGGGUCUUCUGCUUUGGGGGCAGGGGCCUGGUAGGAAUUUUGUCCAUUUGGCUGAUUGGCUGGUGCCAUUUGGUUUUUGCCUACUGCGUAGCAAAUCGUCACAACUUGUAAGGUUGCGGUUAGGCAUUGGUUAAAAAAUUGGUUGGUGGAGGGGUAUGGAUUUGGCUGUGCCUGCCCCUCCAAUGCUGCUGCUGCAAGGGAAUUCCGUUAAAGGAAUCCAGGGGCUUGCCAUUCUUUCAUCCGUACCCCUGAAUGGGGCUUAGGGCCACGCAAGCCCCUGGGAGCAUGUGGGGAGACGUGAGGGUCUGGUGCUCGGCUCCAUGCUCCCCCCAAUAUUGUUUUCCCUUACUGGCUUUUGCGGGAAUCCGGAAGUCAGUUCUGUCCUGAGGUGGGGGACAGAUAGUCAGAACCAAUGCCUAAGCAACCACUCACAUUUAUGUAUUUUAAUAAAGUUGUGGCCAAAAUUAUGCCAAAAACCCUAAACAAAAAUUAUGUGUGAAUUGUGAAUUAUUCAGGGGUGGUUUGGGGGACCUCGACACUCAAGUUGCAGCUGCUGACAUUUCCUUUUCCACACCUUUGUUAAAGAUUCAGAAGCCCUCCCCCUUUUAUGCAACCAGACUUCCCUGGUUGCACAUCAACUGCAGGGUUGAAGAAUUCAACAACAAGCAAACCACAACAAGAGUCCUGGGGCAAAAUACACAAGCCACAAGAUUUUGGAGACGUGCAAGUCUACAUUCCAGCUACCACUAGUGACUUGACCCAUAACUGUUCACCAUACCACACAGAUUACAGUUCUUAAAUACUCAAAUUGUGUGGGGAAAUGUUAGAGAGCAUAAUUAAAUCUAUACAACUAAUUCUUGAUUAAACAUCUCAAUUUUAGCCCCCAGUACGCAAGAACCCAGUCACACCAUAUUCCUUUUUGGCACCCAGCACAUUCACACACAGAAAACCCCUUUUUGUGGUCAUUCUUUACAAUAACUCAGAUCCUUUGGAUUAUGUUUGAUCUACCCAGCUUCCUAGUUGAAGUCCAGUCUAUUAAAAAAGGUAAAGGUCAAUGCUCAGUUACUCCCCACCAAGCUUUUGAGACAAAAUUCUUAACCUGAUAGCAUACUUACUAUUUAAUGGAGUUCACUGAAGAUAGGUCAUCUGGCAACAGCAGAAUCUGGAGAUAAAAGCAACACAACCAAUUAAUGCCUCUUGUCAUUGUCGUUGACAGAUCCCGCAUGGAAGGUCCUUAUGUUUUUUAACCAGUUCAUUGAAGGCAGCUAUCCAACAGGUCCAGCUUUUCUCACCUCGGUACUGAUCUUCAUCCCUUUAACCCCCACAAGGGAUCAGACAACUGUAGUCUCAUGACCAAAGAAGUCAGAUCUGCCACUGAGCUCGAAAGGCAACAGAAACUUCCUUCCCCUAUGAGAGCUGAUAUAGUUCAUUCUGUCCAAGGCUUAUAAAGUAGCAACUAAGAUGUUUCUUACCGCAUCCAUGUUUGAGAUCUUGAGCAGAGCAUUUAAGAGUCCCAUAGUAGCACUGACACAACUGACAUCCUUCUUGAAUCCACUCCUCGUGCUUGAUGGCACCACAACUCCUAAUAAAUAAAUCACAACACAUUUUGUAAACUAGAGUUUGUGUGGAGAUGCUUCUGUUCCCAAACCGAUAUCCAGCUAUAUUAUAAAAUUACAAAUGAUAUAUUCUUUUAUUUAUUCUAGAAUAAGGUGCUGGUUUUGACCUUUAAAGUCCUAGGAGCCUCAUACUUACAGGACCGCCUCUCCUGGUAUGUUCCACAGAGGACCUUAAGGUCCAUGAAUAAUAAUAGCUUAAAGGUCCCGGGCCCUAAGGAAGCCAGACUAUCCUCCACCAGAGCCAGGGCUUUUUCAGUGAUGGCUCUGACCUGGUGGAAUGCUCUGUCCCACGAGACUAGGGCUCUGCAGAACUUGAUUUCCUUCCACAGGGCCUGUAAGACAGAGCUAUUCCGCCUGGCCUUCAAUUUGAAUUUGCCUGAUCCUCUUUUUCCUUUCGUCUUCUAUGAAGAAACCCUUUCUGGGACCCCACAUUUAAAUUCUUCCCUGGUCUCCUUGCUGGCCCUAGUAGGAACAACUUGGCCAGUAAGCCCUGGCGAUCAUUCAAUGUCUACUGACUGGGUUUUUUGUUUUCAAAAUGACCCCUGAAUUUUUGAAUUUUAUUGAUAUUGAUGCUGCACUUUAUGUUGUAUUCUGUGCUGUUUUAUGCUGUUUUUAAGUUGCAUUUUAAUCAAUGUUUUAUAUUUGCUGUUAGCUGCCCUGAGCCUGGUUUUUAAACCGAGAAGGGCAGGGUAUAAAUAAAUUUAUUAUUAUUUAUUAUUUUAUUAUUAUUAUUAUUAUACAGGAACAGGCAUUUUCCUCUUCAGAAGUACUUAUUUGGGAAACUUUGGAACUGAUGUAGAUCUUGCCGAAAUAAGUCACAGCCAGCCAUUAUUUUCCUGCCCACAGAAUGGUAAUGCCACAUCAACUCUUAAAAUGCCCCGUGAAGGGAGAUCUAUAUGAUCUCUGCAGAAUGACCUAUGACUGCACUAAGUGAAACUCUCGAUGGGUGCUUCUAACACUAUCCUUUAAAACUUCAAGAAUUCAGAGGCACCACCUGCCUUUACAUACCUGAUCCUUGUAUCAUAUUCACAGUGUCUUCCAGUGAAGUGUUUGGGGCAUAUGCAAAAAGUUCCCAGGAAGCAAGUUCCUCCAUUUUGACAGCACUGCCUGUUCACUUUGUUACCUGGUGUCAAAGGACGGGGGAGGGGGGGAGGAGAAUGAAAUUGGUUAUCUAGGUCUCUGUUACCAGACUACCUGAUGUUGUUUAGUCGUGUCCGACUCUUCAUGACCCCAUGGACCAGAGCACGCCAGGCACUCCUGUCUUCCACUGCCUCCCACAGUUUGGUCAAACUCAUAUUGGUAGCUUCAAGAACACUGUCCAACCAUCUCGUCCUCUGUCGCCCCCUUCUCCUUGUGCCCUCAAUCUUUCCCAACAUCAGGGUCUUUUCCGGGGAGUCUUCUCUUCCCAUAUGGUGGCCAAAGUAUUGGAGCCUCAGCUUCAGGAUCUGUCCUUCCAGUGAGCACUCAGGGCUGAUUUCCUUAAGAAUGGAUGCGUUUGAUCUUCUUGCAGUCCAUGGGACUCUCAAGAGUCUCCUCCAGCACCAUAAUUCAAAAGCAUCAAUUCUCUGGCGAUCAGCCUUCUUUAUGAUCCAGCUCUCACUUCCAUACAUCACUACUGGGGAAACCAUAGCUUUAACUAUACAGACCUUUGUUGGCAAGGUGACUACCUCAUAUUGCUUCAAAAUUUAAUGCUGAACAGCUAAGUGCUGUAAAGAAUCCACCACGUUUCCCAUGAAGAUUGGAGUUAAGCUAGGGUCUUUAUUAUAAACAGAAGAUGGAUUGUGGACACUGAUUUUCAAUCAUUUUAGUAUGACUUCUGCACCAUGGAAUUAGCUCACUUUGUGGUGGUUGAGACGCAAGCAGUUUUUGUAUUGUUUGUAGCUUUAUUCCAUUUUAAACAAAAAGAAGGAUUUCUAGGCCCGUGCAUACUUAGACUAACAAUGCAUUAGAACAGUUAAGAAAGCAAUUAAGGUUUUCAGUGUCAAACAUUAAGUACAAGAAGGAAGUACAGUCAUACCUCGGGUUACAGACACUUCAGGUUGCAUUUUUUUGGGUUACGGACUGCCGAAACCCUUAAGUACCAGAAUGGGUUACUUCCGGGUUUCGGGGGCACGCAUGCGCAGAAGCGCUGAAUCGCAACCCGCAUGUGUGCAGAUGUGCCGCUGCGGGUUGUGAAUUUGCAUCCUGCACAGAUCACGUUCGCAACCCAAGUGUCUACUGGACAAGAAGCUAGAGAGAGAGAUAGAGAGAGACAGACAGACAGACAGAUAGCUACUUUAACAUUUCUUUAUUAUUUAAAAUGUUAGGGGGAAAUCCUAAGACCUGUUGUGCCAUAUAAUAAAUGUAUCCGAAAUGUGCUUAUUAUCUUCUGCUGCAACACAAGGCAGAAAUAACAGUUGCAAUGUUGCAGGCAGAUAUGUCAAUAUAUUAGUGUCAUUUGCCAUUGAUUGAAUACAUAUUCAUUUAGAAUGUUUACAUCCUACUUUAUAGCUCUGAGAAGCUCUUGCAGCAGCUGACAAAAUAUUUUAACAAUAAAAAUUGCGUUUAAGUCUCAUUCCAGGGAUAGAAAUAAUAUGGUGCCAGGAAUAUUCAGGUGAUGCUUUCUGCCUUUAUAUCUCUUCCCUGGCAUUGCCCUUUGACCUUCUGCUACAGUUUCCAUUGGUCUCCGCAGAGCAAGUCUUCCCUGGAUGGCAGUUGCCAGGCAACAGCUCCCACUGCUGUUCUCUCAGAUGAGGCAGUGGUGCUCAAUGGUUGGAGCUCAUCAUGUAUAGCACUGUGGUAAGUGCUGACCCUAAUUAUAAGUGCUAUCACAAAUUAGACAUGCAAAUUCCAGCAAUGUUUCUUUACGACAAAUAUCUCUCUCUGUGCUAAUGGGGGGGGGGAGGGUAUUUAAUUGUAUGGCGAGGAUUACAAUAUAAUGAAUGUGAAUCACUUUAAAUGUUUCAAAGGCACAACAUACUUAAAUGUUUAUUUAGCUGACUGAGAACCAAAAUGUUAAGCUUUGAGGAAAUGUUAAGCUUUGGGUUUAAACCCCAUUAGUUGAUAAAUUCUACCUCUGUGACAUCAGAACCGUAAGGACAUCUUUCUCAGGAAGACCAUAGAGUACUUUGAAAAUUUAAAAGCUCAACUUACCAUCUGCGGCCAAAGGAGAGUUGCUUUUCUUUUUCUCCGAAUUAAGGUGAUUUAAAACAUUAAAUGUGUACAGAGGAAUAUUCAGCUUCUCCUGGCUUGAAUCCUUAUCACAGUUUUCUCCUUCACAGGCUUCAAAAGGAAGAAACGUGUCAAACUCACAGUAGGGGCUAAUCUGUCAUUUCUGCACAUGCAACCAUGAAGCAACAGUACACAAAGGUGACGUAUUUGUAUCAAGC
Molecule: non-coding RNA, 22076 nt
Organism: Podarcis lilfordi (Lilford's wall lizard)
Lineage: Eukaryota; Metazoa; Chordata; Lepidosauria; Squamata; Lacertidae
Source: the annotation of a GenBank genome assembly